GCCUUCGUAGAUCAAGGUGGAUCAGUUCCAGUAUUUAAGGUGGUCGUCGAUUAUGGAAUAGGUGUGGGUUCGAUUCCCGCCGAAGGCA
This is a non-coding RNA of Mycena capillaripes, 88 nucleotides long. The record is from the annotation of a GenBank genome assembly. Lineage: Eukaryota; Fungi; Basidiomycota; Agaricomycetes; Agaricales; Mycenaceae.